This 330-nucleotide ribosomal RNA is filed under the name Triticum aestivum (bread wheat). RNAcentral's name for it is "partial small subunit ribosomal RNA". The record is from RNAcentral. Lineage: Eukaryota; Viridiplantae; Streptophyta; Magnoliopsida; Poales; Poaceae.
AUGGGCAAGGCCAGCGAUGAUGGUGCGUCUCUCCGUGCGGCGGCGACGAGAAUCAUGCAUCCGGCAGUGCUUCCUAGGGAGGAGCUUCACCGGUUUGUCCAUACCGAGCAUGUAUCUUUGCCUCCAUCCCAUCCCUGGCUCGCUAUUUUCAUGAUAUGCGCCCCGUUGUUGCUCCGAUUGGUUGCAGAGUACUUGCAGAAUUUAAGCGGAGAUGUGUUGCCCCACAAUGUACAUUUUGUAGUGUCAGAUUUCCACCUCUUGUGGCGUGCCUCGAACAAUUUCAGCUUUUCCAUGUCUUUUUAUUAUCCUGAAUGUGUUCGUCCAUCCUAG